GAUGAAGAACGUAGCGAAAUGCGAUAAGUAGUGUGAAUUGCAGAAUUCAGUGAAUCAUCGAAUCUUUGAACGCACAUUGCGCCUUCUAGUAUUCUGGGAGGCAUGCCUGUUUGAGCGUCAUUAAACCUCUCUCAAGUAUGAUUACUUGGAUGUGAAGGAAGAGUACCUUAAACUUAAGGAGUGUUCUCCUUUGAAAUUGAUUAGCAGAUGGUAAUGUUAUUAAACCCCUGAUGUUGUAAGAAAUAACAGUGGUUUUGUAGACUAUUAUCUAGCUUUAAAUUAUAAUUUUUAUUAUGGUUGACCUCAAAUCAGGUAAGGAUACCCGCUGAACUUAAGCAUAUCAAUAAGCGGAGGA
This 355-nucleotide unclassified non-coding RNA is filed under the name soil metagenome. Its description in RNAcentral is "partial contains 5.8S ribosomal RNA, internal transcribed spacer 2, and large subunit ribosomal RNA". The stretch from base 1 to 120 matches the Rfam family "5.8S ribosomal RNA", at positions 35 to 154 of the family's 154-position model. The record is from RNAcentral.